Trichonephila clavipes is the source of this 73-nucleotide non-coding RNA. Lineage: Eukaryota; Metazoa; Arthropoda; Arachnida; Araneae; Nephilidae. The record is from the annotation of a GenBank genome assembly.
AUCCCUGUAGUGCAAUGGAUAGCGUGUUGAACUUCUAAUCCAAAGGUCGAGGCUUUGAAUCCCACCUGGGAUG